UUGGAGGGCAAGUCUGGUGCCAGCAGCCGCGGUAAUUCCAGCUCCAAUAGCGUAUAUUAAAGUUGUUGCGGUUAAAAAGCUCGUAGUUGAAUUUCGGGAUCGACGGGUCGGUCGCGCCUCUGGUGUGUACUGGCCCUGUCGGUUUCUCCCUUCUGACGAACCACGAUGUCAUUAAUUUGGUGUCGUGGGAAAUCAGGACUGUUACUUUGAAAAAAUUAGAGUGUUUAAAGCAGGC
RNAcentral lists this ribosomal RNA (235 nucleotides) under uncultured Glomus. RNAcentral's name for it is "partial 18S ribosomal RNA". It matches the Rfam family "Eukaryotic small subunit ribosomal RNA", at positions 548 to 785 of the family's 1831-position model. Lineage: Eukaryota; Fungi; Glomeromycota; Glomeromycetes; Glomerales; Glomeraceae. The record is from RNAcentral.